This is a non-coding RNA of Acanthosepion pharaonis, 106 nucleotides long. The record is from the annotation of a GenBank genome assembly. Lineage: Eukaryota; Metazoa; Mollusca; Cephalopoda; Sepiida; Sepiidae.
GUGGUCAAAUCAUGUUGAAACACCAGUUCUCAUAUGAUUACCAAAGUUAAGCAAUACUGAGCCUGGUCAGUACCAAGAUGGAAGACUGCUUGAGAAUACAGGUGCU